Molecule: ribosomal RNA, 253 nt
Filed under: uncultured bacterium
Lineage: Bacteria
Description: partial 16S ribosomal RNA
Rfam family: Bacterial small subunit ribosomal RNA
Source: RNAcentral
UACGUAGGGCGCAAGCGUUGUCCGGAAUUAUUGGGCGUAAAGAGCUCGUAGGCGGUUUGUCGCGUCGGAUGUGAAAAUCUAGGGCUCAACCCUGGACCUGCAUUCGAUACGGGCAGACUAGAGUUCGGUAGGGGAGACUGGAAUUCCUGGUGUAGCGGUGAAAUGCGCAGAUAUCAGGAGGAACACCGGUGGCGAAGGCGGGUCUCUGGGCCGAUACUGACGCUGAGGAGCGAAAGCGUGGGGAGCAAACAGG